AUCUCAUCUCAGUCCACAGAAAUACCAGAAUACUAGGCUACUAUUGAGAAGGCAAAAUCCUCAAGAUAUAACAACUCCUGCUGACCAUAGUGAGAGAUCAAAGAGAUGUCGCCGGGGCUGUAAGAGGACGGCUGAGGGCAGUCCAACCAAUCAGUGGCCAGAAGCCGAGGGUAUCCUUCAGGGGCGGAGCCUGGACCCCCACACCACACCCUGCUUUGGGUCCCAGUGCAAUCCUUGCCACCUUCCUUCUGAGUCCUCAGGAGCCAGAGUAGACAGAGGCUGAGGGAAACCCUCUUGGAGUGACAGAUCCUUAAACAGCCAAACCUGGGAACCUGCACAUAACCGCUUGCAGUGGAGGAAGUGAAGAAGGAAGAGCCGACCAAAGUCUCUGUACAGGGACAGCCCUGACUGACACCAGACCACCUCUGCUCACUCUCCACAUGUUCUGCCCUACAAAAUGCAUAAGAAAAGAAUUACCUGGUUGUCUGAAGGCCCAUUUCUCCUCUGCAUCCAAGUGAACUCCACCAGCCCUGUCUGGAUCUGA
Sinocyclocheilus anshuiensis is the source of this 544-nucleotide long non-coding RNA. RefSeq lists it as uncharacterized. The transcript has 5 exons. The record is from RefSeq and is a predicted model, not a curated record. NCBI's taxonomy places the organism in Eukaryota, Metazoa, Chordata, Actinopteri, Cypriniformes, Cyprinidae.